Molecule: ribosomal RNA, 919 nt
Filed under: uncultured archaeon
Lineage: Archaea
Description: bacterial SSU rRNA
Rfam family: Archaeal small subunit ribosomal RNA
Source: RNAcentral
UUCCGGUUGAUCCUGCCGGAGGCCAUUGCUAUUGGAGUCCGAUUUAGCCAUGCUAGUCGUACGGGUUCAGACCCGUGGCGAAUAGCUCCGUAACACGUGGCCAAACUACCCUACGGAGGACCAUACCCUCGGGAAACUGAGGCUAAUAGUCCAUACGGUUCUCGCGCUGGAAUGCCGGGAAUCCGAAACGCUCCGGCGCCGUAGGAUGUGGCUGCGGCCGAUUAGGUAGACGGUGGGGUAACGGCCCACCGUGCCGAUAAUCGGUACGGGUUGUGAGAGCAAGAGCCCGGAGACGGAAUCUGAGACAAGAUUCCGGGCCCUACGGGGCGCAGCAGGCGCGAAACCUUUACACUGCACGCCAGUGCGAUAAGGGGACUCCGAGUGCGAGGGCAUACAGUCCUCGCUUUUGCCGACCGUAGGAUGGUCGGCGAAUAAGGGCUGGGCAAGACCGGUGCCAGCCGCCGCGGUAAUACCGGCAGCCCAAGUGAUGGCCGCUAUUAUUGGGCCUAAAGCGUCCGUAGCUGGCCGCGUCAGUCCGCCGGGAAAUCCAUCCGCUCAACGGAUGGGCGACCGGCGGAUCCUGCGCGGCUUGGGACCGGAAGACCCGAGGGGUACGUCCGGGGUAGGAGUGAAAUCCCGUAAUCCUGGACGGACCGCCGAUGGCGAAAGCACCUCGGGAGGACGGAUCCGACAGUGAGGGACGAAAGCUCGGGUCUCGAACCGGAUUAGAUACCCGGGUAGUCCGAGCCGUAAACGAUGCUCGUUAGGUGUGGCACAGGCUACGCGCCUGUGCUGUGCCGUAGGGAAGCCGCUAAACGAGCCGCCUGGGAAGUACGUCCGCAAGGAUGAAACUUAAAGGAAUUGGCGGGGGAGCACUACAACCGGAGGAGCCUGCGGUUUAAUUGGACUCAACGCCGGU